Molecule: ribosomal RNA, 185 nt
Filed under: uncultured eukaryote
Lineage: Eukaryota
Description: partial 18S ribosomal RNA
Rfam family: Eukaryotic small subunit ribosomal RNA
Source: RNAcentral
UCGUGGUACGAGCUGUCUGGUUAAUUCCGAUAACGAACGAGACUCUAACCUGCUAAAUAGUACAGUCGCAAUUAUUAUGCGGAUCGUUGUAUUGGUGCUCAUGUGCCGAUAUAGCCCCGUAUAAGCAGGUGAAACUUCUUAGAGGGACUGGCGGUCAAAAAACCGCACGAGAAAGAGCAAUAACA